GAUGAACGCUGGCGGCGUGCCUAAUACAUGCAAGUCGAGCGAACAGACGAGGAGCUUGCUCCUCUGACGUUAGCGGCGGACGGGUGAGUAACACGUGGAUAACCUACCUAUAAGACUGGGAUAACUUCGGGAAACCGGAGCUAAUACCGGAGAAUAUAUUGAACCGCAUGGUUCAAUAGUGAAAGACGGUUUUGCUGGCACGUAUAGAUGGAUCCGCGCCGCAUUGGCUGGUUGGUAAGGUAACGGCUUACCAAGGCGACGAUGCGUAGCCGACCUGAGAGGGUGGUCGCCCACACUGGAGCUGAGACACGGUCCAGGCUCCUACGGGAGGCAGCAGUAGGGAAUGUUCCGCAAUGGGCGAAAGCCUGACGGAGCAACCCCGCGUGAGUGAUGAAGGUCUUCGGAUCGUAAAACUCUGUUAUUAGGGAAGAACAAAUGUGUAAGUAACUAUGCACGUCUUGACGGUACCUAAUCAGAAAGCCACGGCUAACUACGUG
Molecule: ribosomal RNA, 497 nt
Filed under: uncultured bacterium
Lineage: Bacteria
Description: partial 16S ribosomal RNA
Rfam family: Bacterial small subunit ribosomal RNA
Source: RNAcentral